UACGUAGGGCGCAAGCGUUGUCCGGAAUUAUUGGGCGUAAAGAGCUCGUAGGCGGUUUGUCGCGUCUGCUGUGAAAUCCUCAGGCUCAACCUGGGGCUUGCAGUGGGUACGGGCAGACUAGAGUGCGGUAGGGGUGACUGGAAUUCCUGGUGUAGCGGUGGAAUGCGCAGAUAUCAGGAGGAACACCGAUGGCGAAGGCAGGUCACUGGGCCGCAACUGACGCUGAGGAGCGAAAGCAUGGGGAGCGAACAGG
RNAcentral lists this ribosomal RNA (253 nucleotides) under uncultured bacterium. RNAcentral describes it as "partial 16S ribosomal RNA". It matches the Rfam family "Bacterial small subunit ribosomal RNA", at positions 524 to 776 of the family's 1533-position model. The record is from RNAcentral. RNAcentral also lists the same sequence under 1 other name.